This 266-nucleotide ribosomal RNA is filed under the name uncultured bacterium. RNAcentral describes it as "partial 16S ribosomal RNA". It matches the Rfam family "Bacterial small subunit ribosomal RNA", at positions 87 to 354 of the family's 1533-position model. The record is from RNAcentral.
CCGGGCGACCGGCGCACGGGUGAGUAACACGUAUGCAACCUGCCCUCUUCAGGGGGACAACCUUCCGAAAGGGAGGCUAAUCCCGCGUAUAUCGGUUUCGGGCAUCCGAGAUCGAGGAAAGAUUCAUCGGAAGAGGAUGGGCAUGCGGCGCAUUAGCUAGACGGCGGGGUAACGGCUCACCGUGGCGACGAUGCGUAGGGGUUCUGAGAGGAAGGUCCCCCACACUGGUACUGAGACACGGACCAGACUCCUACGGAAGGCAGCAG